CGAGUUAUAUUCUAGGAAUAAUAUUAUUUACAUUAAUGUUUUGGCUUUGUGCAAUUCAGCCUGGCUCGA
This 69-nucleotide transfer RNA is filed under the name Leptocorisa lepida. RNAcentral's name for it is "tRNA-Val". The record is from RNAcentral. Lineage: Eukaryota; Metazoa; Arthropoda; Insecta; Hemiptera; Alydidae.